This 564-nucleotide ribosomal RNA is filed under the name uncultured bacterium. RNAcentral's name for it is "bacterial SSU rRNA". It matches the Rfam family "Bacterial small subunit ribosomal RNA", at positions 115 to 681 of the family's 1533-position model. The record is from RNAcentral.
GCUUGGGAAUAUGCCUUAGGGUGGGGGACAACAGUUGGAAACGACUGCUAAUACCGCAUAACGUCUACGGACCAAAGGGGGCUUCGGCUCUCGCCCUUAGAUUAGCCCAAGUGGGAUUAGCUAGUUGGUGAGGUAAUGGCUCACCAAGGCGACGAUCCCUAGCUGGUUUGAGAGGAUGAUCAGCCACACUGGAACUGAGACACGGUCCAGACUCCUACGGGAGGCAGCAGUGGGGAAUAUUGCACAAUGGGCGCAAGCCUGAUGCAGCCAUGCCGCGUGUGUGAAGAAGGCCUUAGGGUUGUAAAGCACUUUCAGUAAGGAGGAAAGGUUAGUAGUUAAUACCUGCUAGCCGUGACGUUACUUACAGAAGAAGCACCGGCUAACUCCGUGCCAGCAGCCGCGGUAAUACGGAGGGUGCGAGCGUUAAUCGGAAUUACUGGGCGUAAAGCGUACGCAGGCGGUUUGUUAAGCGAGAUGUGAAAGCCCCGGGCUCAACCUGGGAACUGCAUUUCGAACUGGCAAACUAGAGUAUGAUAGAGGGUGGUAGAAUUUCAGGUGUAGCGG